Molecule: transfer RNA, 83 nt
Filed under: Methanobacteriaceae archaeon
Lineage: Archaea; Methanobacteriati; Methanobacteriota; Methanobacteria; Methanobacteriales; Methanobacteriaceae
Rfam family: tRNA
About the family: Transfer RNA (tRNA) molecules are approximately 80 nucleotides in length. Their secondary structure includes four short double-helical elements and three loops (D, anti-codon, and T loops). Further hydrogen bonds mediate the characteristic L-shaped molecular structure. tRNAs have two regions of fundamental functional importance: the anti-codon, which is responsible for specific mRNA codon recognition, and the 3' end, to which the tRNAs corresponding amino acid is attached (by aminoacyl-tRNA synthetases). tRNAs cope with the degeneracy of the genetic code in two manners: having more than one tRNA (with a specific anti-codon) for a particular amino acid; and 'wobble' base-pairing, i.e. permitting non-standard base-pairing at the 3rd anti-codon position.
Source: Rfam by way of RNAcentral
GCGGAGGUAGUCAAGCGGUCAAAGGCGAUAGGUUGAGGGCCUAUUGAGGUAGCUCUUCGUGGGUUCGAGUCCCACCUUCCGCA